GGCGCCCAAAGGUUCCCUCAGAAUGGUUGGAAAUCAUUCGCAGAGUGUAAAGGCACAAGGGAGCUUGACUGCGAGACCUACAAGUCGAGCAGGGACGAAAGUCGGGCUUAGUGAUCCGGUGGUUCCGCAUGGAAGGGCCAUCGCUCAACGGAUAAAAGCUACCCCGGGGAUAACAGGCUUAUCUCCCCCAAGAGUUCCCCCAAGAGUCCACAUCGACGGGGAGGUUUGGCACCUCGAUGUCGGCUCAUCGCAUCCUGGGGCUGUAGUCGGUCCCAAG
Molecule: ribosomal RNA, 277 nt
Filed under: Bacillus velezensis
Lineage: Bacteria; Bacillati; Bacillota; Bacilli; Caryophanales; Bacillaceae
Description: partial 23S ribosomal RNA
Rfam family: Bacterial large subunit ribosomal RNA
Source: RNAcentral